Long non-coding RNA from Oncorhynchus keta (chum salmon), 2181 nucleotides. RefSeq lists it as uncharacterized. The record is from RefSeq and is a predicted model, not a curated record. The transcript has 5 exons. NCBI's taxonomy places the organism in Eukaryota, Metazoa, Chordata, Actinopteri, Salmoniformes, Salmonidae.
ACAGACACAACACAAUCACUCACUGCAGAAGUAACCAAAGGCAUACACCAACACUCUGUUGGUAAGAUGCUCGAGUCAUGGUAGUUCAUAGCAGGUCUGAUACAAGCAUACAUCCACAGGCUGUUGGUAAGAUGCUCGAGUCAUGGUAGUUCAUAGCAGGUCUGAUACAGGCAUACACCAACACUCUGUUGGUAAGAUGCUCGAGUCAUGGUAGUUCAUAGCAGGUCUGAUACAGGCAUACAUCCACAGGCUGUUGGUAAGAUGCUCGAGUCAUGGUAGUUCAUAGCAGGUCUGAUACAGGCAUACACCAACACUCUGUUGGUAAGAUGCUCGAGUCAUGGUAGUUCAUAGCAGGUCUGAUACAGGCAUACAUCCACAGGCUGUUGGUAAGAUGCUCAAGUCAUGGUAGUUCAUAGCAGGUCUGAUACAGGCAUACAUCCACAGGCUGUUGGUAAGAUGCUCGAGUCAUGGUAGUUCAUAGCAGGUCUGAUACAGGCAUACAUCCACAGGCUGUUGGUAAGAUGCUCGAGUCAUGGUAGUUCAUAGCAGGUCUGAUACAAGCAUACAUCCACAGGCUGUUGGUAAGAUGCUCGGGUCAUGGUAGUUCAUAGCAGGUCUGAUACAGGCAUACAUCCACAGGCUGUUGGUAAGAUGCUCGGGUCAUGGUAGUUCAUAGCAGGUCUGAUACAAGCAUACAUCCACAGGCUGUUGGUAAGAUGCUCGGGUCAUGGUAGUUCAUAGCAGGUCUGAUACAAGCAUACAUCCACAGGCUGUUGGUAAGAUGCUCGAGUCAUGGUAGUUCAUAGCAGGUCUGAUACAGGCAUACACCAACACUCUGUUGGUAAGAUGCUCGGGUCAUGGUAGUUCAUAGCAGGUCUGAUACAGGCAUACAUCCACAGGCUGUUGGUAAGAUGCUCGGGACAUGGUAGUUCAUAGCAGGUCUGAUACAAGCAUACAUCCACAGGCUGUUGGUAAGAUGCUCGAGUCAUGGUAGUUCAUAGCAGGUCUGAUACAAGCAUACAUCCACAGGCUGUUGGUAAGAUGCUCGGGUCAUGGUAGUUCAUAGCAGGUCUGAUACAAGCAUACAUCCACAGGCUGUUGGUAAGAUGCUCGAGUCAUGGUAGUUCAUAGCAGGUCUGAUACAAGCAUACAUCCACAGGCUGUUGGUAAGAUGCUCGGGUCAUGGUAGUUCAUAGCAGGUCUGAUACAAGCAUACAUCCACAGGCUGUUGGUAAGAUGCUCGGGUCAUGGUAGUUCAUAGCAGGUGGGCGGAUACAAGCAUACAUCCACAGGCUGUUGGUAAGAUGCUCGGGUCAUGGUAGUUCAUAGCAGGUGGGCGGAUACAAGCAUACAUCCACAGGCUGUUGGUAAGAUGCUCGGGUCAUGGUAGUUCAUAGCAGGUGGGCGGAUACAAGCAUACAUCCACAGGCUGUUGGUAAGAUGCUCGGGUCAUGGUAGUUCAUAGCAGGUGGGCGGAUACAAGCAUACAUCCACAGGCUGUUGGUAAGAUGCUCGGGUCAUGGUAGUUCAUAGCAGGUGGGCGGAUACAAGCAUACAUCCACAGGCUGUUGGUAAGAUGCUCGGGUCAUGGUAGUUCAUAGCAGGUGGGCGGAUACAAGCAUACAUCCACAGGCUGUUGGUAAGAUGCUCGGGUUAUGUUGGUAGUUCAUAGCAGGUGGGCGGAUACAAGCAUACAUCCACAGGCUGUUGGUAAGAUGCUCGGGUCAUGGUAGUUCAUAGCAGGUGGGUGGAUACAAGCAUACAUCCACAGGCUGUUGGUAAGAUGCUCGGGUCAUGGUAGUUCAUAGCAGGUCUGAUACAAGCAUACAUCCACAGGCUGUUGGUAAGAUGCUCGGGUCAUGGUAGUUCAUAGCAGGUCUGAUACAAGCAUACAUCCACAGGCUGUUGGUAAGAUGCUCGGGACAUGGUAGUUCAUAGCAGGUCUGAUACAAGCAUACAUCCACAGGCUGUUGGUAAGAUGCUCGGGUCAUGGUAGUUCAUAGCAGGUCUGAUACAAGCAUACAUCCACAGGCUGUUGGUAAGAUGCUCGGGUCAUGGUAGUUCAUAGCAGGUCUGAUACAGGCAUACACCAACACUCUGUUGGUAAGAUGCUCAGGUCAUGGUAGUUCAUACAAGCAUACAUCCACAGGCUGUUGGUAAGAUGCUCGGGUCAUGGCAGUU